Molecule: long non-coding RNA, 608 nt
Filed under: Triticum aestivum (bread wheat)
Lineage: Eukaryota; Viridiplantae; Streptophyta; Magnoliopsida; Poales; Poaceae
Description: long non-coding RNA (TAES_LNC017019)
Source: RNAcentral
ACACCGAACCAUUUCGGCAUACAUCACAAACACACGAAAAACACAAGCAUAUACAAGCAACAUAGGACCUCAACUGACAGUUCCCAAAACUUGUAUUACCACCACCCACAUUACACAACCAGUUCAUCACCACAUUCUUCAGACUGACCCGACCAACAGACCGACCGAACCGACGACUUCCAAACAACUCGAUUAUUACCCACAAGAAAAGGAAGGGAAGAAAAUAAAUAAAAUAUCGGACUCUCUAUAACUGACAAUAAGACUGGCUUACUCAGCGCGCCUCUAAGCCAAAGCCAAAGGGGAAGGGUAUAAAUGAAUGAAUACGGAUCUGGGACGACGACCGACCGACACUUCUAGACACGGGGAGGCUGGGAGGGAGGGCUCAUGAUUUUAUGAUUACAAGAUAUGAAACAAUGAAGGGGUAUGAACAGAUAGAUAGACACCCUAGGGACCGACCGACGCAACGAAAGAACGAAACCAACCAUAUAUAUAAUAUUUAUAUAUAUCAGCACCGGAUUUCCUAAAAUACGCAAUAUGCGAAGGAGAACUUGUCCAAGACGGAUGGAUGGAUGGCCCCAGAAGUUUUCUCAAGACCGCUGCUGGCGCUA